This 133-nucleotide small nucleolar RNA is filed under the name Gouania willdenowi (blunt-snouted clingfish). The record is from RNAcentral. Lineage: Eukaryota; Metazoa; Chordata; Actinopteri; Blenniiformes; Gobiesocidae.
CCGCACUGUUCGUAACCUGGUUCAGUUCCCAGUAUGAACUCUGGUUCCAUUCCAGUGCCACAGUGAACUCCAGUGAGGCAGGGGAGUGGUGCCUGUUUUGUGCCAACUCCCUGUUCACUCUCUGGGAACACGU